ACGACUCUCGGCAACGGAUAUCUCGGCUCUCGCAUCGAUGAAGAACGUAGCGAAAUGCGAUACUUGGUGUGAAUUGCAGAAUCCCGUGAACCAUCGAGUCUUUGAACGCAAGUUGCGCCCCAAGCCUUUAGGCCGAGGGCACGUCUGCCUGGGUGUCACAAAUCGUCGUCCCCAUCCUUUGCGGAGAA
Molecule: ribosomal RNA, 188 nt
Filed under: Draba nemorosa
Lineage: Eukaryota; Viridiplantae; Streptophyta; Magnoliopsida; Brassicales; Brassicaceae
Description: 5.8S ribosomal RNA
Rfam family: 5.8S ribosomal RNA (bases 3-158)
About the family: 5.8S ribosomal RNA (5.8S rRNA) is a component of the large subunit of the eukaryotic ribosome. It is transcribed by RNA polymerase I as part of the 45S precursor that also contains 18S and 28S rRNA. Functionally, it is thought that 5.8S rRNA may be involved in ribosome translocation.
Source: RNAcentral